Molecule: ribosomal RNA, 729 nt
Filed under: uncultured bacterium
Lineage: Bacteria
Description: bacterial SSU rRNA
Rfam family: Bacterial small subunit ribosomal RNA
Source: RNAcentral
GUACGCGAAAGAGGGAGUAAUCCCUUGAGUAGAGUGGCGAACGGGUGAGUAACGCGUGAGAAACCUGCCCUAAGCAGGGGGAUAACACUCCCAACGGGGUGCUAAUACCGCAUGAGACCACGGGAUCGCAUGGUCCUGAGGUCAAAGGUGGCCUCUGCUUGCAAGCUACCGGCUUAGGAUGGUCUCGCGUCCCAUUAGCUAGUUGGCGGGGUAAUGGCCCACCAAGGCGACGAUGGGUAGCUGGUCUGAGAGGAUGGUCAGCCACACUGGGACUGAGAUACGGCCCAGACUCCUACGGGAGGCAGCAGUCGAGAGGCUUCGGCAAUGGGGGAAACCCUGACCGAGCGACGCCGCGUGAAGGAUGAAGGCCCUUGGGUUGUAAACUUCUUUUGUUCGGGAAGAAAUGCGAUCAGGUGAAUAAUCUGGUCGUUUGACGGUACCGGACGAAUAAGCUCCGGCUAACUCCGUGCCAGCAGCCGCGGUAACACGGGGGGAGCAAGCGUUGUUCGGAAUUACUGGGCGUAAAGGGCGUGUAGGCGGUCAAGUAAGUGGAAUGUGAAACGCCUCGGCUUACCCGAGGACCUGCAUCCCAAACUGCUUGGCUUGAGUAUGGGAGAGGAUGAGGGAAUUCCUGGUGUAGCGGUGAAAUGCGUAGAUAUCAGGAGGAACACCGGUGGCGAAAGCGCUCAUCUGGCCCAAUACUGACGCUGAAGCGCGAAAGCUAGGGGA